RNAcentral lists this ribosomal RNA (1143 nucleotides) under uncultured Clostridia bacterium. RNAcentral describes it as "bacterial SSU rRNA". It matches the Rfam family "Bacterial small subunit ribosomal RNA", at positions 8 to 1172 of the family's 1533-position model. The record is from RNAcentral. Lineage: Bacteria; Bacillati; Bacillota; Clostridia.
GAGAGUUUGAUCCUGGCUCAGGACGAACGCUGGCGGCGCGCCUAACACAUGCAAGUCGAACGAGCGAGAGAGAGUUUGCUUUCUCGAGCGAGUGGCGAACGGGUGAGUAACGCGUGAGGAACCUGCCUCAAAGAGGGGGACAACAGUUGGAAACGACUGCUAAUACCGCAUAAGCCCACAGGUCGGCAUCGACCAGAGGGAAAAGGAGCAAUCCGCUUUGAGAUGGCCUCGCGUCCGAUUAGCUAGUUGGUGAGGUAACGGCCCACCAAGGCAACGAUCGGUAGCCGGACUGAGAGGUUGAACGGCCACAUUGGGACUGAGACACGGCCCAGACUCCUACGGGAGGCAGCAGUGGGGAAUAUUGCACAAUGGGGGAAACCCUGAUGCAGCGACGCCGCGUGGAGGAAGAAGGUCUUCGGAUUGUAAACUCCUGUUGUUGAGGAAGAUAAUGACGGUACUCAACAAGGAAGUGACGGCUAACUACGUGCCAGCAGCCGCGGUAAAACGUAGGUCACAAGCGUUGUCCGGAAUUACUGGGUGUAAAGGGAGCGCAGGCGGGAAGACAAGUUGGAAGUGAAAUCUAUGGGCUCAACCCAUAAACUGCUUUCAAAACUGUUUUUCUUGAGUAGUGCAGAGGUAGGCGGAAUUCCCGGUGUAGCGGUGGAAUGCGUAGAUAUCGGGAGGAACACCAGUGGCGAAGGCGGCCUACUGGGCACCAACUGACGCUGAGGCUCGAAAGUGUGGGUAGCAAACAGGAUUAGAUACCCUGGUAGUCCACACCGUAAACGAUGAUUACUAGGUGUUGGAGGAUUGACCCCUUCAGUGCCGCAGUUAACACAAUAAGUAAUCCACCUGGGGAGUACGACCGCAAGGUUGAAACUCAAAGGAAUUGACGGGGGCCCGCACAAGCAGUGGAGUAUGUGGUUUAAUUCGACGCAACGCGAAGAACCUUACCAAGUCUUGACAUCCUGCGACGAUGCUGGAAACAGUAUUUUCCUUCGGGACGCAGAGACAGGUGGUGCAUGGUUGUCGUCAGCUCGUGUCGUGAGAUGUUGGGUUAAGUCCCGCAACGAGCGCAACCCUUACUGUCAGUUACUACGCAAGAGGACUCUGGCAGGACUGCCGUUGACAAAACGGAGGAAG